ACGGAAGGCAGCAGUGGGGGAUAUUGCACAAUGGGGGAAACCCUGAUGCAGCGACGCCGCGUGAGUGAAGAAGUAUUUCGGUAUGUAAAGCUCUAUCAGCAGGAAAGAUAAUGACGGUACCUGACUAAGAAGCACCGGCUAAAUACGUGCCAGCAGCCGCGGUAAUACGUGUGGUGCAAGCGUUAUCCGGAUUUACUGGGUGUAAAGGGAGCGUAGACGGCAUGGCAAGCCAGAUGUGAAAGGCAGGGGCUCAACUCCUGGACUGCAUUUGGAACUGUCAAGCUAGAGUAUCGGAGAGGUAAGUGGAAUUCCUAGUGUAGCGGUGAAAUGCGUAGAUAUUAGGAGGAACACCAGUGGCGAAGGCGGCUUGCUGGACGAUAACUGACGUUGAGGCUCGAAAGCGUGGGGAGCAAACAGGAUUAGAUACCCUGGUA
RNAcentral lists this ribosomal RNA (434 nucleotides) under uncultured Lachnospiraceae bacterium. Its description in RNAcentral is "bacterial SSU rRNA". It matches the Rfam family "Bacterial small subunit ribosomal RNA", at positions 341 to 792 of the family's 1533-position model. Lineage: Bacteria; Bacillati; Bacillota; Clostridia; Lachnospirales; Lachnospiraceae. The record is from RNAcentral.